This 730-nucleotide ribosomal RNA is filed under the name uncultured bacterium. RNAcentral's name for it is "bacterial SSU rRNA". It matches the Rfam family "Bacterial small subunit ribosomal RNA", at positions 771 to 1501 of the family's 1533-position model. The record is from RNAcentral.
AACAGGAUUAGAUACCCUGGUAGUCCACGCCGUAAACGAUGUCGACUUGGAGGUUGUGCCCUUGAGGCGUGGCUUCCGGAGCUAACGCGUUAAGUCGACCGCCUGGGGAGUACGGCCGCAAGGUUAAAACUCAAAUGAAUUGACGGGGGCCCGCACAAGCGGUGGAGCAUGUGGUUUAAUUCGAUGCAACGCGAAGAACCUUACCUACUCUUGACAUCCAGAGAACUUAGCAGAGAUGCUUUGGUGCCUUCGGGAACUCUGAGACAGGUGCUGCAUGGCUGUCGUCAGCUCGUGUUGUGAAAUGUUGGGUUAAGUCCCGCAACGAGCGCAACCCUUAUCCUUUGUUGCCAGCGGUCCGGCCGGGAACUCAAAGGAGACUGCCAGUGAUAAACUGGAGGAAGGUGGGGAUGACGUCAAGUCAUCAUGGCCCUUACGAGUAGGGCUACACACGUGCUACAAUGGCGCAUACAAAGAGAAGCGACCUCGCGAGGGCAAGCGGACCUCAUAAAGUGCGUCGUAGUCCGGAUUGGAGUCUGCAACUCGACUCCAUGAAGUCGGAAUCGCUAGUAAUCGUGGAUCAGAAUGCCACGGUGAAUACGUUCCCGGGCCUUGUACACACCGCCCGUCACACCAUGGGAGUGGGUUGCAAAAGAAGUAGGUAGCUUAACCUUCGGGAGGGCGCUUACCACUUUGUGAUUCAUGACUGGGGUGAAGUCGUAACAAGGUAACC